AGGUGACCGGACGGUUGCGGCAGCUUGCUGUCGAGGAAAGUCCGAACACCACAGGACAGGAUGCCGGCUAACUACCGGCGGAGGCGACUCCAGGGAAAGUGCAACAGAAAUAAACCGCCGACUCGUUCGGCAAGGGUGGAACGGUGAGGUAAGAGCUCACACGGUCCCUCGGUAACGAGGGGCGCUAUGUAAACCCCAUCCGGUGCAAGAUCGAGGGAAACGGGUCGUCCGCCCUCCCUCCCACAUCGCUAGAGCCGUACGGUAACGUACGGCCCAGACAGAUAGCCGUCCAAGACAGAAUUCGGCUUACAGGUCACU
RNAcentral lists this RNase P RNA (318 nucleotides) under chicken gut metagenome. Its description in RNAcentral is "Bacterial RNase P class A". It matches the Rfam family "Bacterial RNase P class A". From Rfam's summary of the family: Ribonuclease P (RNase P) is a ubiquitous endoribonuclease, found in archaea, bacteria and eukarya as well as chloroplasts and mitochondria. The record is from RNAcentral.